Molecule: ribosomal RNA, 253 nt
Filed under: uncultured bacterium
Lineage: Bacteria
Description: partial 16S ribosomal RNA
Rfam family: Bacterial small subunit ribosomal RNA
Source: RNAcentral
CACGGAGGGGGCUGGCGUUGUUCGGAAUGACUGGGCGUAAAGCGCGCGUAGGCGGUUCGGUAAGUUGGAUGUGAAAGCCCGGGGCUCAACUCCGGAUGGGCGUUCAAGACUGCCGAAAUUGAGACCGAGAGAGGAGAGUGGAAUUCCCAGUGUAGAGGUGAAAUUCGUAGAUAUUGGGAAGAACACCCGUGGCGAAGGCGGCUCUCUGGCUCGGUUAUGACGCUGAGGUGCGAAAGCGUGGGGAGCAAACAGG